UUUUAUGAGAGUUUGAUCCUGGCUCAGGACGAACGCUGGCGGCGUGCCUAAUACAUGCAAGUCGAACGCUUCUUUUUCCACCGGAGCUUGCUCCACCGGAAAAAGAGGAGUGGCGAACGGGUGAGUAACACGUGGGUAACCUGCCCAUCAGAAGGGGAUAACACUUGGAAACAGGUGCUAAUACCGUAUAACAAUCGAAACCGCAUGGUUUUGAUUUGAAAGGCGCUUUCGGGUGUCGCUGAUGGAUGGACCCGCGGUGCAUUAGCUAGUUGGUGAGGUAACGGCUCACCAAGGCCACGAUGCAUAGCCGACCUGAGAGGGUGAUCGGCCACAUUGGGACUGAGACACGGCCCAAACUCCUACGGGAGGCAGCAGUAGGGAAUCUUCGGCAAUGGACGAAAGUCUGACCGAGCAACGCCGCGUGAGUGAAGAAGGUUUUCGGAUCGUAAAACUCUGUUGUUAGAGAAGAACAAGGAUGAGAGUAACUGUUCAUCCCUUGACGGUAUCUAACCAGAAAGCCACGGCUAACUACGUGCCAGCAGCCGCGGUAAUACGUAGGUGGCAAGCGUUGUCCGGAUUUAUUGGGCGUAAAGCGAGCGCAGGCGGUUUCUUAAGUCUGAUGUGAAAGCCCCCGGCUCAACCGGGGAGGGUCAUUGGAAACUGGGAGACUUGAGUGCAGAAGAGGAGAGUGGAAUUCCAUGUGUAGCGGUGAAAUGCGUAGAUAUAUGGAGGAACACCAGUGGCGAAGGCGGCUCUCUGGUCUGUAACUGACGCUGAGGCUCGAAAGCGUGGGGAGCAAACAGGAUUAGAUACCCUGGUAGUCCACGCCGUAAACGAUGAGUGCUAAGUGUUGGAGGGUUUCCGCCCUUCAGUGCUGCAGCUAACGCAUUAAGCACUCCGCCUGGGGAGUACGACCGCAAGGUUGAAACUCAAAGGAAUUGACGGGGGCCCGCACAAGCGGUGGAGCAUGUGGUUUAAUUCGAAGCAACGCGAAGAACCUUACCAGGUCUUGACAUCCUUUGACCACUCUAGAGAUAGAGCUUCCCCUUCGGGGGCAAAGUGACAGGUGGUGCAUGGUUGUCGUCAGCUCGUGUCGUGAGAUGUUGGGUUAAGUCCCGCAACGAGCGCAACCCUUAUUGUUAGUUGCCAUCAUUCAGUUGGGCACUCUAGCAAGACUGCCGGUGACAAACCGGAGGAAGGUGGGGAUGACGUCAAAUCAUCAUGCCCCU
Molecule: ribosomal RNA, 1229 nt
Filed under: Enterococcus faecium
Lineage: Bacteria; Bacillati; Bacillota; Bacilli; Lactobacillales; Enterococcaceae
Description: bacterial SSU rRNA
Rfam family: Bacterial small subunit ribosomal RNA
Source: RNAcentral